Molecule: ribosomal RNA, 484 nt
Filed under: uncultured bacterium
Lineage: Bacteria
Description: partial 16S ribosomal RNA
Rfam family: Bacterial small subunit ribosomal RNA
Source: RNAcentral
AUUGAACGCUGGCGGCAGGCCUAACACAUGCAAGUCGAGCGGAUGAAGGGAGCUUGCUCCUGGAUUCAGUGGCGGACGGGUGAGUAAUGCCUAGGAAUCUGCCUGGUAGUGGGGGAUAACGUCCGGAAACGGGCGCUAAUACCGCAUACGUCCUGAGGGAGAAAGUGGGGGAUCUUCGGACCUCACGCUAUCAGAUGAGCCUAGGUCGGAUUAGCUAGUUGGUGGGGUAAAGGCCUACCAAGGCGACGAUCCGUAACUGGUCUGAGAGGAUGAUCAGUCACACUGGAACUGAGACACGGUCCAGACUCCUACGGGAGGCAGCAGUGGGGAAUAUUGGACAAUGGGCGAAAGCCUGAUCCAGCCAUGCCGCGUGUGUGAAGAAGGUCUUCGGAUUGUAAAGCACUUUAAGUUGGGAGGAAGGGCAGUAAGUUGAUACCUUGCUGUUUUGACGUUACCAACAGAAUAAGCACCGGCUAACUUCGUG